RNAcentral lists this ribosomal RNA (292 nucleotides) under uncultured bacterium. RNAcentral describes it as "partial 16S ribosomal RNA". It matches the Rfam family "Bacterial small subunit ribosomal RNA", at positions 333 to 642 of the family's 1533-position model. The record is from RNAcentral.
CUACGCCUACGGGGGGCAGCAGUGGGGAAUAUUGCACAAUGGGGGAAACCCUGAUGCAGCGACGCCGCGUGAGUGAAGAAGUAUUUCGGUAUGUAAAGCUCUAUCAGCAGGAACGAGACAAGACGGUACCUGACUAAGAAGCCCCGGCUAACUACGUGCCAGCAGCCGCGGUAAUACGGAGGAUGCGAGCGUUAUCCGGAUUUAUUGGGUUUAAAGGGUGCGUAGGCGGGACGGUAAGUCAGCGGUGAAAAUGCGGAGCUCAACUCCGUCGAGCCGUUGAAACUGCCGUUCU